Molecule: ribosomal RNA, 250 nt
Filed under: uncultured bacterium
Lineage: Bacteria
Description: partial 16S ribosomal RNA
Rfam family: Bacterial small subunit ribosomal RNA
Source: RNAcentral
UACGGAGGAUCCGAGCGUUAUCCGGAUUUAUUGGGUUUAAAGGGAGCGUAGGUUGACGUAUAAGUCAGCUGUGAAAGUUUACGGCUCAACCGUGAAAUUGCAGUUGAUACUGUUAUUCUUGAGUGUACAUAAGGUAGGCGGAAUUCGUGGUGUAGCGGUGAAAUGCUUAGAUAUCACGAAGAACUCCAAUUGCGAAGGCAGCUCACUGGGGUACAACUGACACUGAGGCUCGAAAGUGUGGGUAUCAAAC